Molecule: ribosomal RNA, 791 nt
Filed under: uncultured archaeon
Lineage: Archaea
Description: bacterial SSU rRNA
Rfam family: Archaeal small subunit ribosomal RNA
Source: RNAcentral
ACGGCUCAGUAACACGUAGUCAACAUGCCCAGGGGACGUGGAUAACCUCGGGAAACUGAGGAUAAACCACGAUAAGUCACUACUUCUGGAAUGGGUAAUGACUCAAAUCUACAUGGCCCCUGGAUUGGACUGCGGCCGAUCAGGCUGUUGGUGAGGUAAUGGCCCACCGAACCUGUAGCCGGUACGGGCUCUGAGAGGAGGAGCCCGGAGAUGGGCACUGAGACAAGGGCCCAGGCCCUAUGGGGCGCAGCAGGCGCGAAACCUCUGCAAUAGGCGAAAGCCUGACAGGGUUACUCUGAGUGAUUUCCGUUAAGGAGAUCUUUUGGCACCUCUAAAAAUGGUGCAGAAUAAGGGGUGGGCAAGUCUGGUGUCAGCCGCCGCGGUAAUACCAGCACCCCGAGUGGUCGGGACGUUUAUUGGGCCUAAAGCAUCCGUAGCCGGUUCUACAAGUCUUCCGUUAAAUCCACCUGCUUAACAGAUGGGCUGCGGAAGAUACUAUAGAGCUAGGAGGCGGGAGAGGCAAGCGGUACUCGAUGGGUAGGGGUAAAAUCCGUUGAUCCAUUGAAGACCACCAGUGGCGAAGGCGGCUUGCCAGAACGCGCUCGACGGUGAGGGAUGAAAGCUGGGGGAGCAAACCGGAUUAGAUACCCGGGUAGUCCCAGCUGUAAACGAUGCAGACUCGGUGAUGAGUUGGCUUUAUGCCAACUCAGUGCCGCAGGGAAGCCGUUAAGUUUGCCGCCUGGGGAGUACGGUCGCAAGACUGAAACUUAAAGGAAUUGGCGGGGGAGCAC